Triticum aestivum (bread wheat) is the source of this 3867-nucleotide long non-coding RNA. RefSeq lists it as uncharacterized. The transcript has 5 exons. The record is from RefSeq and is a predicted model, not a curated record. Lineage: Eukaryota; Viridiplantae; Streptophyta; Magnoliopsida; Poales; Poaceae.
AGGGUUCUCAUCAAGUUCAAAAAAAAAAAACUAGGGUUCUCAUCCGUCGCCGCCAUCUGACCCCUCCUCCUCCCGCGGUGCUGCUCCCCGGCGACGUCGUCUGACCAGCCGCGGCCUCCGCAGGCCUCAUCUUCUCACGAAUCUGCAAAGGUCGUUGCCAUCGGUUCCCACCGACGCCUUGCUGUAGCCUCCCCGAUGCUCUCUUUGCACCGCCGCAUGUGCCUGUGCAUAUUCCGCAGACUCCCCCUCCUACAAGAGAUCUCCGCCACCGUCCCGAUUGGAUCACGCUGCCGCCAACCAGUGGUUCAGCAGGGAACGCUGCCGCCCGAUUGGAUCUUGGACGCCCUGCAAGAGCUCAAGCCGCCGCUCGGCUGCACGCAUCUGCCCUGCAGGUCUCCGGCUGGACCAGGCCACGACCCCCACUAGCCUCCCAUGCCCAACAGUCAGUCGGCUCCUCUGCUCGCUCCGGUUCACUGGCCGCUGCAAGUCAACGCCCAGCUGCAUCUUUGAUUGAAUCAAGCCUAUAUGGAUCAUCUAAGAAGAUCCAUGGUCGUGUGACCACUCAACUCGUAGACCUUCGCACGGCCGGUAGGCCGGCCGGUAUGUGACAUGAUCUCUUCAUUUCUUCUUACAUUGUCUUCUUUUGUUGAUCAACUGCAAGGAAGAGCUGACGAUAACAUUGAGACUGUCAGGAGAAGAUUCAGAGUUAAAAAAUAAUCAGAGUUUUUGAAGAAUCAAGUUUGCCUGUAGUUCAGUCCGAUGACUCUAAGUCUAAGGGCAAGGUUAAGAUGGUGUAUCCAUUUUUAUAUAAAAGGAUAUGGCACGCUUCUUCCAAAGAGCUUAUUCUUCACAGCGUCACAUAAAUACUUGUGAUUUAAGAUAGUCACACGUCACCAGAAAACGAUUCAGUAUUAAUCCAGCUGCAUAUAGUUGAGUACUAUGAUUCAAAAGGCUAGGUUGAGAAGGGGUAUGAUUUUGAGUGCAAAAGCAUACUAUUCUGUAGAACAGUUCAUUUUUAACAGCCUAAUGUAUCGAUUUCUCAUAAAUUAUAAGAGCUACGCUGUAGAAUUUUUUAGUAUGUCUAGCAAAUGCUCUUGUUGUUCAGGGUCUAAUUGGGUGCAGGUGAUGCCUGGAAUUGAACAUACAAAGGAUGAAGGGGGUGCUAGGCAGGCUCGCGCCGUCCACGUGUCGCUAUGAAUAGUGCCGGCGAAGCAAGCGUUGCGUCCCGCGCGCGCCGCGAGCAGAGAAGCGACCGAGAGAGAAAAGAGAGCAGUUCUCAAAAAAAGAGAGAGAAAAGAGAGCGAGCGAGCAGCUGUAGCGAGAGACAAAAGUAGCGAUGCCAGUGACCUAAACCGCAUCUCCCCUUCUCCAGAGAGAGAGAGAAGAUGAGAGGGAGAAGAAGUAAGGAAGGGAGGGUGAAAGAGAGGAAAGAGGAGAGGGAGGUAGAGCCGCCUUCUCUCCCUGCCUCUUCCGCGGUGGUCGAGGUGCAGCAGCGUCGGCGCCGCCAGGUUCUCGAUCCAGUCGGAUCUGGCGCCGGUCGCCGUCCCCGUCGCCUCGUCUUCUUUCUUUCCAACCCACCGCCUCCGAGCUUCUGCUCCUGCUACGUCUCCUUCUCCCUUCCCGCCGCGGGAGCAGUCAUCGCUGCGCCCUCGCCCCCGCACGCCGUCCUUCCGCGCGCCUCACCAGCCACCACCAGCAGCAGCGUAGGGAGCCAAUGGGAAGGGGGUCCAAGGCCAAAUCCUGCUUCAGCGGAGGCCAUGACUGAGGCGGAGGGGGAGCUCCCCAAAGCCAUCGUGGAUCGUGCUGUGGCGGCGUGGAGCAGGGGAGGAUUUGGGCGAUGGGCAUGAGGGAAGGAGCAGCGAGGUCAGAGUUCCAGGCGGUGCCGGCCGUCGUCACAUGUCCCCAGUCUAGAUCUGAGAAAAAAAAGAGAAGUGGGUGAAUCUUGAGGAAGAGCUUGGUGAAGAACAAGGUGUUCCUAAUGGCAAAGGUGGUAAUCAACGAUGAGAAAAAAAGGGACCGAGAUUGGAUUUCUGCUAGGUAUGUUCCUCAUCUCUCUCAGCUCUUGUUCCAAUCCCCACCCUGAUGUAACUGCUUCUUCACAACUGUUUGAUGUGUCUUAGGAGAUGAAUGCCAUGGAUUGGCAAGAUUCUUGCUAAGCUGACAACUAAUUAAACUAUUUGUCCCAUUGUUAAAGCUAAUCAUAGUCAUAUGUGGUGAUCGUCCGACUGCUGCGUAUGGUGGCAACCGAAUUCUUGAUGAUGAACCGAAUCAAAUACGUAGUAAAGUCAGCGCUAAAUCACAAGUAUAUAUUCAGGUUCAGUACACUCAAGCUGUCGAGGAGGUUACUCAGACCUGUAGAUUUUGUAUGACAAGAAAAUUACUUGAAAGAAAUAGGUACAGCCACUGUGAUAAAUAUCAGUAGUAAGCAUUGUAUAUGUAUGCAGUAGUAUAGUAAGACAAGAAAAAUACUUGAAAGAAAUAGGUGCAGACACUGUGAUAAAUAUCAGUAGCAUGCACUAUAUAUGUAUGCAGAACAGACCAUAAUCAUGAUUUUGCAUUGCUUGGACCAAGAUUUGUAUGCACCGAUCACCUAUGCUGUCUUUAGGGGUUACAGGAAAAUGACAUAUAUCAGCCAGUGCAACCACUAAUAGUGCAAUUGUGUAUUUACAGAAAGGAAGCAGGUCAACCAUGCAGUAUUAGAGUAAGAUACUACAUGUAAAAGUACCAUCUAAAAAUGACAGAUACAUUACUUCGUGAGAAAUCUCGGUAGGAAAGUAGUGACUCUUUUUGUCAAUGGAUUGUGUACAGUGAACUGGAUUAUGCAAUGAUCGGUUGAUUCAGAGCUCUUGUAUCUUGAGUGGCAUUCACCUUUGGGCAAUUCAAGCGACCACAGGGCGAGACUACCAGCUGGUGAAGGAGAGGAUAUGUAUUCGGCGUGUCCUGAAGAGGUAGUCCACGAACCGGCAAUGGAGGAAAUAAGGUAGAGACGACAAUAGCAGCAAGUACGUCAAGUGCUAGGGAUGUGGAUAUGGUGUGGCAUAAAGAGGUAGUCCACAAACCUCUGCUAGGUGCUCCUCUCUCACCUCUUGCAUCCUCUGGGGAUAUUCCUUCAUUAUUUGGUUACCUGUCAAUGCUCGGUCCUAUUUCCCACCUUGUGCUUUGACUUCUUGCAUUUUUUCCGUCUAAGUUAUUAGGCUACUGCUGCCUGGUUUGCCCAUGAUGAACCACUAAUUAUGAUGCACCGCUGGCUGGUCUGCCUUUUUUAUGCUUUUUUAGUGACAACAUUCAGACUUAAUGUUUAUUACUUCAUUUCAGAGUUUUAAUUAAGACAUCGCAGUCAAUUUAUAUGGUCUUCUGAAGUUUCACCUUCCCUUUGUCAUAUUGGUUUGAUCAAAUCAAUGGGAAGCCGGCAUUACUUUGAUGCUGAUCUUCUUGCUCAGUAUAAGCCAACAAUGGAGAAACUGACCAGGCUAUCUUUCAUGAUCAGUUACACACCAAGCCUAUAUUUUUGCUGCUUCUACAUGUCGUUGUGAUGGUCAUUCGGCCCAUUUUCUUGAAUCUGCACUACAACGAGAGAUCUUGGCUGCUUCUUUGUGGCUUCCAAACUUGAAAUGUUUGUUUGGAAGUUAGUUUAGUUUUUUGUUGUAGAUUCAUAGCUUCUCACAUGUACCGUCCUCUUAGACCUUCAGAUUUCCAAAGAAACUAAAUGAAGAUAUGGUGGUAUGGUCUCAAUAGUACAACUUAAAGCCUUCCAUGCUUUAUAUUCUCUGAAAUUUGCUCUUGAAGAAUUAUGUAUCUAUGUUACAUCCAGUGAGAAAAGGCGGCUUCCAAGCAGAGGAUGCGGGAAUGUUGGCCACAUUUGGUUUU